This is a non-coding RNA of Paramuricea clavata, 1285 nucleotides long. Lineage: Eukaryota; Metazoa; Cnidaria; Anthozoa; Malacalcyonacea; Plexauridae. The record is from the annotation of a GenBank genome assembly.
CAACUUAAAAACUUUAAUUUUUAAUAUAGUCGGUGAAGUUAUCUCAAUAUAUAAUAUUUACAAAAUAAAAUUGAUUGAGCUUCGAGCCUUCGAAUCAAUCCUUAUGUCUUCUACACAACAACAGAUGUGCACCACUUCCUUAUUCAAAGUUUUCUACCCGCAAUCUAAUCGUAUAGAAGUUUUCAAAUCAAAUAUUUGCCUUUUUGGAUAGAUUUUGUUUUUUUUAUGUUGAAUAGAUAUAUAAAUAUCGAUUAAGACCCCGUUAACACAGAGCCGGAUGAAUUUAGAACCGUACUCAAAUUCGACCGAUCUCGCCCUGCGUUCACACGGGACGCAUGAAGCUGGACGAAUUCCAGCACGGUUAACCGUACGAAUACGAGACCAAAUAAAAUUAGGUUUCGUUUUGUAGCAGAAUGGUUCCUCAAUAGACCACAAAUGACGUCACAAGGCUUGAUGCCCACGAGGAAUGCUGGUCUUAGUUGUCAUCGCCCGGGAAAAUUAAACAAUUCAAAAUGGCCACUAUAGAAAUUUUCCUGGGCGAUGACUAUUAAGACCAGUAUUCCUCGCGGGCAUCAAGCCUUGUGACGUCAUUAUGCACAAGGUCAAUUAGACGGCGCCAAGUGAACAGCGGAACCGGUCUUUUUUAAGACCAUUUUGCACGGUAGAGGAUUGAGACUGACUGAGGCCGAAGUAAAUACUUUCGGGACUAAAAUUCAUCCGGUUCCGUGUGAAAAUGUAGAACCGCGGACGAAUUUGAGUACGGUUCCGAAUUCAUCUGUGCCCGUGUGAACGGGGUUAAAAUGGUGAAAAAACUCUUGUUUUGACGAAGGGCCUUUGUUCGAAAUGUCACGUUCUUUCUUUAAUAAUUGCUAUAGCAAGAACCAAAUCAAAGGAUUUAUCAUGAAACAAUUGAUAUGUGUUCAGAAAAAUUCAGUUUAACUCUCGUCUGCUUCUAUACGAUAAAAACAAAGUGUUGCCUCAUCAUUUUUGUACAUAUUUGUAGAAGCGUUUGCAUGUACAUUGUUUUGUACAUAUUUGUAGAAAGAAUGUAUCUGGUCAUUCACAAUUCAACUUAUUAUUUCACAGUGCGUGUAUACACAGGCAUGCCAUAGACUAUUGGUGCCGCACCAUUGAUAUACUUCAUGUUACAAACAUGGCGGGAUUGUGUCACACAUUGCGUGAGAGAAAGAUUAUCAUCUUUAAACCACAGGUGCAGUAAAUUUGUAGUGAAUUUAUCAAUAUCACGAUCUGUGACGUCCCAAAGAUUUCCAACCACGGUUGGACU